GCGUGGCCAUUAUGUCGGAAGUUCUUUUCUCCCGCGGAUUCUUUUCUCAGCCAGCGGCUCCUGUUCUUCGGCUCCCGUCCUCCGCUAGGUGAGCGGCAGCGAGAGGAACAGGCGCGCUCGCCUACCCGCUUCCCUGUUCAUUUCUCCCCGAGUGGUUUGCAUUCUGCCCACGCUAAGAGGCUUCUUUCCGGGUCAUCCUCAGCCAAGAGGGCCCAAUCCGCACGCAGCCUCCUGUGCCCAUCAAAUCCUGGCUGCACCCUGUGGCUCAGCGUAAGCCAGCAGCAAGAGCCUGAGAGCUGGCAGGAAUCUGCACUCAUACAUUUAAAAGCUCAUGCAGAUUUAUGCAAACGUGCUUCAACAUUCAGGUUCUGUACUGUACUUGAAUGUUUCUAGCCACUUCCUUUCUUAUGAAGCUUCCAUUCGCCUGGGUAGCUUCUCAUCUUCUCAGAAGCCAUUCAUUCUACAUGUACCUGUGAGACGCAGGUGAACCAUGAUGGCAGAAUGGUCCAUCUGGGCUGCCCACAGCCACACAGCCAUCUCUUUGCCAGCUGGGAGCAGCAGCCUCAGCCUCUAUUGGGGGUGGUGUCCAUAGCAGGUCCUUCCCCAUGCAAACUGCAAGCUUCUCUCCCCCUUUUGGAAAUGCUGUCCUGCCUAUGUCACACCUUGAGUGGAAUAAGUGCAAUAAAGCUGGAUCAUAUGGAUAAAAAACUUUAAUGCUAGAAUGGUAUUGUCUCAGUCACUUGGCGAUACUUCCUGACAUCCCCAUCACCAAAAGCGGUCCCGGAGCAUCCCUUUAUUCAGCCUGCUACCCCUCCUCUUCUCUGAUCUCUGGCAGAGGGCACAGGAAGUCAUGCCACCACACAGAGACCUUGUUGCUUGCUAUGGCUAUAUGAAGCUAGACCUCCUUAUCUGUAUAGAAGCAGCAACAAAAGAAAGUCAAGCAGACUGUUCUCUGCAAAAGCAAGGCAGUGCCUGAGCAAAAGCUGGCCACUUGCUAGAUUCAGAGCCUGUCAGCAGGCAGAGCUGAAACACUUGACAGGCAGGUGUGGAUUCCAUUGCAGGUGACUGUCCAGUAACUUGAGCCCAAGAGCAGCUGGUGCU
This is a non-coding RNA of Zootoca vivipara (common lizard), 1101 nucleotides long. NCBI's taxonomy places the organism in Eukaryota, Metazoa, Chordata, Lepidosauria, Squamata, Lacertidae. The record is from RefSeq and is a predicted model, not a curated record.